GGAAUCCUACGGGGGGCAGCAGUGGGGAAUAUUGCACAAUGGGGGAAACCCUGAUGCAGCGACGCCGCGUGAAGGAAGAAGUAUUUCGGUAUGUAAACUUCUAUCAGCAGGGAAGAAAAUGACGGUACCUGACUAAGAAGCCUCGGCUAACUACGUGCCAGCAGCCGCGGUAAUACGUAGGGGGCAAGCGUUAUCCGGAUUUACUGGGUGUAAAGGGAGCGGAGGCGGCGAUGCAAGUCAGAAGUGAAAGCCCGGGGCUCAACUCCGGGACUGCUUUUGAAACUGAGUUGCUAGAUUGCAGGAGG
This 305-nucleotide ribosomal RNA is filed under the name uncultured bacterium. RNAcentral's name for it is "bacterial SSU rRNA". It matches the Rfam family "Bacterial small subunit ribosomal RNA", at positions 333 to 655 of the family's 1533-position model. The record is from RNAcentral.